Molecule: non-coding RNA, 206 nt
Organism: Oryza barthii
Lineage: Eukaryota; Viridiplantae; Streptophyta; Magnoliopsida; Poales; Poaceae
Source: Rfam
UAAAAAAAAAAUCCUGGUUUUCGUGUCCAAUGUUUGACCGUCCAUGUUAUUUAAAAAAAAUAUGAAAAAAAAUUAAAAAGAUAAGUCACGCAUAAAGUAUUAAUCAUUUUUUAUUAUCUAACCACAAUGAAAAUACUAAUUAUAAAAAAAUUUCAUAUAAGAUGGACAGUCAAACGUUGACACGGAAAUCCAGGGUUUACCUUUUU